GCCGGCCGGGCUGCGUUGCUCUUUCGGGGUGGACGCGGCGUGGGGGGACUCGGUUUCCCCGUGGGUUUUCGCCCCCUUGUGUGCCCUGGGAUAGGGUGAAAGAACUGGGACUGUGUUUCUGAACACCCUGAAGAGGAGCAAAGCAGAGCUGGAAGAGCUUUGACCUGAUGGCCUGUCUGCCAGCCAGUCAAACCGACUAGCCAAAGCCUUUAUUUGAGCAUGACUGCUAUGUCCAUGUCAUGAAGUUGCAGCUGCAGUCGGAGCUUGCACAAGACUUGGUUAAUUUUUUGGCCAGCUUAAACUUCCUGAACUACCUCACCACAGCAACUACCAGAGCCAUUGCAAAGGAUGGGGCAGGACAGCAGGGCUAGGGAGAAGGGGAGACUGUGGGAGCUUCCACUCAUACUAAUUUAAGUUGUAAUGGAUCUGCACACUGAACUGAAAAUCUUCAAUGCAAAAUAUCAUUUUCACUACAGCACAGAAUGUGUGAAAACUGGAAAUCAUCUGAAGUACAGACCAUCUGAGUGAUUUUAAGACUUCAAGAAAAUCUUUGACAUUAAAUGAAAUGCAUUUUUAAGAGUUUCUACAUUUUUUAAGAGUUCAGCAAUAUUUUUCUCUCCAAAGUUACCAGAAAAGAAGGUGAACAUUUCUUCAACAUGUUAACAAAGUUAGGAGUAUCUGCAGUGGCAGACAUCUGCAUUGGGACAGCUAGGGAAAUAAAGAAAUAUGGCCAGCUAAAUAAAUCUCUACUUCUUAAAGCAAAAAAAAAAAAAAAAAAAAAAGGGUGGGUGGGUGGGGAGGAAUUCAACAGAGAAAGCAAGGACAGAGACACAGAGAGACCACAGAACAACACUUUGCAUAGGAAAGAGUCAGUCAAAAGGCAAGUAUGAUUUACAGGGUCAUUUCCAAAUGACUUUUACCCCCUUCAUAAGACUAAAAGGAAAUCCUCAAUCUAGCCGUGGGGAUUUUUUUUCCCAUCUGGAUUCCAGGAUUACAGACCAUAAGUGGAAGAAAAGUUAGCCUGAAAAGAUAGAGAUUUUACAUUCACACUCAGAUCUCAAACCACAAAGACCACAAGUCAGCCACAAAUAUAAAUGUAAUAAAAUUAAUUUGCAUUCUGUAAAUUCUGUAAACAAAAAGAAUAGCGUUUUUAAAGUUGAACUAGGCAUUGAACUAACGAUUCAACCAAAAUUGUACUUACUUGUGAACUUGGAACGCCGCCCGCCCAACCCACACUGGCGUAUUUUACCACCCUGAAAGAGUCCGUAGUAAAUUUCUCCAAUGAACUUGACCAGCUCUGGAUCUGUGGCAUUGACCAAGUCAGCUCCUGUUUUGCAAAGGAUCUUGCCAGUCAUCCACUUCGGGGUCCCCAUUGCAACAACAAUCAAGAUGAAAGACACGAAACUUACUAGAGAAGCCAAAGCAAAUAAAGUCUUUUUAAAACA
Long non-coding RNA from Falco peregrinus (peregrine falcon), 1445 nucleotides. RefSeq lists it as uncharacterized. The record is from RefSeq and is a predicted model, not a curated record. NCBI's taxonomy places the organism in Eukaryota, Metazoa, Chordata, Aves, Falconiformes, Falconidae. The transcript has 3 exons.